UAGGGAAUCUUCGGCAAUGGACGGAAGUCUGACCGAGCAACGCCGCGUGAGUGAAGAAGGUUUUCGGAUCGUAAAGCUCUGUUGUUAGAGAAGAACGUUGGUAGGAGUGGAAAAUCUACCAAGUGACGGUAACUAACCAGAAAGGGACGGCUAACUACGUGCCAGCAGCCGCGGUAAUACGUAGGUCCCGAGCGUUGUCCGGAUUUAUUGGGCGUAAAGCGAGCGCAGUCGGUUCUUUAAGUCUGAAGUUAAAGGCAGUGGCUUAACCAUUGUACGCUUUGUAAACUGGAUGACUUGAGUGCAGAAGGGGAGGGUGGAAUUCCAUGUGUAGCGGUGAAAUGCGUAGAUAUAUGGAGGAACACCGGUGGCGAAAGCGGCUCUCUGGUCUGUAACUGACGCUGAGGCUCGAAAGCGUGGGGAGCAAACAGG
Molecule: ribosomal RNA, 429 nt
Filed under: Bacillota bacterium
Lineage: Bacteria; Bacillati; Bacillota
Description: Firmicutes bacterium partial 16S ribosomal RNA
Rfam family: Bacterial small subunit ribosomal RNA
Source: RNAcentral